GCUAUGGCGCAGUUGGUUAGCGCGCCAGAUUGUGGUUCUGGAGACCGUGGGUUCGAGUCCCACUAGC
Molecule: transfer RNA, 67 nt
Filed under: uncultured Butyrivibrio sp.
Lineage: Bacteria; Bacillati; Bacillota; Clostridia; Lachnospirales; Lachnospiraceae
Rfam family: tRNA
About the family: Transfer RNA (tRNA) molecules are approximately 80 nucleotides in length.
Source: RNAcentral